CCUACGGGUGACAGCAGUGGGGAAUAUUGCGCAAUGGGCGAAAGCCUGACGCAGCGACGCCGCGUGAGGGAUGAAGGUCUUCGGAUCGUAAACCUCUGUCAGCAGGGAAGAACGGUCACUGUGCUAAUCAGCAGUGAAUUGACGGUACCUGCAAAGGAAGCAUCGGCUAACUCCGUGCCAGCAGCCGCGGUAAUUCGGAGGGUGCGAGCGUUAAUCGGAAUUACUGGGCGUAAAGCGCUCGUAGGCGGUAUGUCAAGUCAAGGGUGAAAUCCCCGCGCUCAACGUGGGAACUGCCUUUGAAACUGGCAGACUGGAGUGUGUGAGAGGAUAGUGGAAUUCCAGGUGUAGGAGUGAAAUCCGUAGAUAUCUGGAGGAACAUCAGUGGCGGAGGCGACUAUCUGGCACAUAACUGACGCUGAGGAGCGAAAGCGUGGGUAGCAAACAGGAUUAGAUACCCGAGUAGUC
Molecule: ribosomal RNA, 465 nt
Filed under: uncultured bacterium
Lineage: Bacteria
Description: partial 16S ribosomal RNA
Rfam family: Bacterial small subunit ribosomal RNA
Source: RNAcentral